Molecule: small nuclear RNA, 161 nt
Organism: Magnolia sinica
Lineage: Eukaryota; Viridiplantae; Streptophyta; Magnoliopsida; Magnoliales; Magnoliaceae
Product: U1 spliceosomal RNA
Exons: 1
Source: RefSeq, a predicted model, not a curated record
AUACUUACCUGGACAGGGUUUUUGGGUGAUCAAGAAGGCCCAUGGCCUAGGUCAACGGCUUCCAUUGCACUUAGGAGGAGCGUUGGCUUAGCAUCUCCUCGAGUAGGAGAGUGCAUGUCAUAAUUUGUGAUCGAGGGGGUACGCGUUCGCGCGGCCCUGCC